This 525-nucleotide ribosomal RNA is filed under the name Strongylura anastomella. Its description in RNAcentral is "partial 16S ribosomal RNA". It matches the Rfam family "Bacterial large subunit ribosomal RNA", at positions 1923 to 2597 of the family's 2925-position model. The record is from RNAcentral. Lineage: Eukaryota; Metazoa; Chordata; Actinopteri; Beloniformes; Belonidae.
UUUAACGGCCGCGGUAUUUUAACCGUGCGAAGGUAGCGUAAUCACUUGUCUUUUAAAUGGAGACCUGUAUGAAUGGCAUAACGAGGGCUUAACUGUCUCCAUUUUCCAGUCAAUGAAAUUGAUCCCCCCGUGCAGAAGCGGGGAUAAACACAUAAGACGAGAAGACCCUGUGGAGCUUUAGACUUAAAGAUGGCCCAUGUUAACUUAACCUAACCUAACAAGAAAAAACCAAUUGGUAACCUUCUUAAUGUCUUCGGUUGGGGCGACCACGGGGUAAUAAAAAACCCCCAUGUGGAAUGAGAAAACUUUUUCUCAUAACCUAGACUGACAAGUCCAAGCAUCAGAAUAUCUGACCAAUAAUGAUCCGGCAACGCCGAUCAACGAACCAAGUUACCCCAGGGAUAACAGCGCAAUCCUCUCCUAGAGCCCAUAUCGACGAGAGGGUUUACGACCUCGAUGUUGGAUCAGGACAUCCUAAUGGUGCAGCCGCUAUUAAGGGUUCGUUUGUUCAACGAUUAAAGUCCU